RNAcentral lists this ribosomal RNA (486 nucleotides) under uncultured bacterium. Its description in RNAcentral is "bacterial SSU rRNA". It matches the Rfam family "Bacterial small subunit ribosomal RNA", at positions 26 to 518 of the family's 1533-position model. The record is from RNAcentral.
AGGACGAACGCUGGCGGCGUGCUUAACACAUGCAAGUCGAGCGGAGUAUGAUGAAAGCUUGCUGGAUUCAUGACUUAGCGGCGGACGGGUGAGUAACGCGUGAGCAAUCUGUCCCAUACAGGGGGAUAAUACCGCGAAAGUGGUUCUAAUACCGCAUGAGACCAUGGCGAGGCAUCUCGCGGGGGUCAAAGGAGCAAUCCGGUAUGGGGUGAGCUCGCGUCCGAUUAGAUAGUAGGUGAGGUAACGGCCCACCUAGUCGACGAUCGGUAGCCGACCUAAGAGGGUGAUCGGCCACAUUGGGACUGAGACACGGCCCAGACUCCUACGGGAGGCAGCAGUGGGGAAUAUUGGGCAAUGGGGGAAACCCUGACCCAGCAACGCCGCGUGGAGGAAGAAGGUCUUCGGAUCGUAAACUCCUGUCCUACAGGAAGAGGAGAAGACUGUACUGUAGGAGGAAGCCCCGGCUAACUACGUGCCAGCCGCCGC